CCCAAUUAAUAAAACAAGAAGAGUCUCCCAGUCCAGCUUCUAAGAACCUUCUGUUGCUUUAGUGGAAUAGAGCUGGACUAAGUUCCCACCAUUCUCUUCUGCUGCAACGACUGAAUAGGCCGUAUUCUUUACAAAAAGUUGUCAAGAAAGCAUGAACCAGGCCUACACUGAUGCUCCAGGGCUGAACAUCUUGCUCAAACCAUAGCGGGAGCUCAAAAACUAAUUAACUGAGUGAGUAAUUCAGUGAGUCGAUGAGACCCAGAGCCAGUCCUGAGUACUUCUACUUUGGACUUCAAAGCAUCCCUCCUGAGGAGCCAACAGUGCACCCAGGGAAGUGGAUUUUCUAAUCCACCACAGGAGCCCACCUGCUCUCCAUGUUGAUGCUCCUGUCCAGAGACGUAUUCAACUUCCCCAUGUCCAGAAUAAACUGUUUUUACACCUUGACUCUUAAAAAUUUUAUGUUUCAACCUGA
This is a long non-coding RNA of Peromyscus eremicus (cactus mouse), 472 nucleotides long. RefSeq lists it as uncharacterized. Lineage: Eukaryota; Metazoa; Chordata; Mammalia; Rodentia; Cricetidae. The record is from RefSeq and is a predicted model, not a curated record. The transcript has 2 exons.